RNAcentral lists this ribosomal RNA (421 nucleotides) under uncultured bacterium. RNAcentral's name for it is "bacterial SSU rRNA". It matches the Rfam family "Bacterial small subunit ribosomal RNA", at positions 355 to 774 of the family's 1533-position model. The record is from RNAcentral.
UGAGGAAUAUUGGGCAAUGCCCGCAAGGGUGACCCAGCAACGCCGCGUGGAGGAUGAAUGUCGUAAGAUUGUAAACUCCUGUUAGAGGGGAAGAAUAGUACCGGUUGGACCGGUAUAUGACUGUACCCUCAGAGAAAGCCCCGGCUAACUACGUGCCAGCAGCCGCGGUAAUACGUAGGGGGCAAGCGUUGUCCGGAUUUACUGGGUGUAAAGGGCGCGCAGGCGGGAUGAAAAGUCAGUGGUGAAAUCCUACAGCUUAACUGUAGAACUGCCUUUGAUACUUUUAUUCUUGAGUUCGGGAGAGAGAGACGGAAUUCCAGGUGUAGUGGUGAAAUACGUAGAUAUCUGGAAGAACACCAGUUCGAAGGCGGUCUCUUGGUCCGACACUGACGCUGAGGCGCGAAAGCGUGGGGAGCAAACA